This 215-nucleotide long non-coding RNA is filed under the name Trifolium pratense (red clover). RNAcentral's name for it is "long non-coding RNA (TPRA_LNC003646)". The record is from RNAcentral. Lineage: Eukaryota; Viridiplantae; Streptophyta; Magnoliopsida; Fabales; Fabaceae.
UACUAGUUAGCUCCGGGCCAAUUUGAAGGAAGUUGGCAAUGACAUGUAGCUAUAGUGGGAAGAACAGUGGAAAUGUGGGAUGUAAAUGGACAUAUUAUAUGGUAAGGGAAAAAGACAAAUAAGAACAGCUGCCUAUGGUAGGGUAAGGGUACGUAUUAACAAAGCAUAGCUUAACUUGGGGUUUUCAAUUUCAUAUCAAUGCUUCUUCAUGCAUA